This 521-nucleotide ribosomal RNA is filed under the name Daubentonia madagascariensis (aye-aye). Its description in RNAcentral is "partial 16S ribosomal RNA". It matches the Rfam family "Bacterial large subunit ribosomal RNA", at positions 1840 to 2582 of the family's 2925-position model. Lineage: Eukaryota; Metazoa; Chordata; Mammalia; Primates; Daubentoniidae. The record is from RNAcentral.
ACAAUAUUAGAGGCCCUGUCUGCCCAGUGACUUUCGUUUAACGGCCGCGGUAUCCUGACCGUGCAAAGGUAGCAUAAUCACUUGUUCUCUAAUUAAGGACUCGAAUGAACGACCACACGAGGGUUUAACUGUCUCUUAUCUCCAAUCAGUGAAAUUGACCUUCCCGUGAAGAGGCGGGAAUACAACAAUAAGACGAGAAGACCCUAUGGAGCUUAAAUUUACUAACCCAAACAAACUCACUAAGCACUUAAAAACCACCAUAAAUUUGUCCUCUGGGUUAAAAAUUUUGGUUGGGGUGACCUCGGAGAAUAACAAAACCUCCGAAUGAUUUUAACUUAGACAUAACCAGUCAAAGCAAAUAUCAACUAUUGACCCAAAUUAACUUUGAUCAACGAAACAAGUUACCCUAGGGAUAACAGCGCAAUCCUAUUCUAGAGUCCAUAUCGACAAUAGGGUUUACGACCUCGAUGUUGGAUCAGGACAACCUAAUGGUGUAACCGCUAUUAACGGUUCGUUUGUUC